This 233-nucleotide ribosomal RNA is filed under the name uncultured bacterium. RNAcentral's name for it is "partial 16S ribosomal RNA". It matches the Rfam family "Bacterial small subunit ribosomal RNA", at positions 86 to 334 of the family's 1533-position model. The record is from RNAcentral.
CUUUCCUUAGUGGCGGACGGGUGAGGAACACGUAAGAACCUACCCUUAGGAGGGGACAACAGCUGGAAACGGCUGCUAAUACCCCAUAAGCUGAGGAGUGAAAGGAGGAAACUCCGCCUAAGGAUGGGCUUGCGUCUGAUUAGCUUGUUGGUGGGGUAAAAGCUUACCAAGGCGACGAUCAGUAGCUGGUCUGAGAGGAUGAUCAGCCACACUGGGACUGAGGCACGGCCCAG